AGUGAACGCUGGCGGUAGGCCUAACACAUGCAAGUCGAACGGCAGCACAGUAAGAGCUUGCUCUUACGGGUGGCGAGUGGCGUACGGGUGAGGAAUACAUCGGAAUCUACUUUUUCGUGGGGGAUAACGUAGGGAAACUUACGCUAAUACCGCAUACGACCUACGGGUGAAAGCAGGUGAUCUUCGCACCUUUCGCGUUUGAUUGAGCCGAUGUCGGAUUAGCUUGUUGGCGGGGUAAAGGCCCACCAAGGCGACGAUCCGUAGCUGGUCUGAGAGGAUGAUCAGCGACACUGGAACUGAGACACGGUCCAGAGUCCUACGGGAGGGAGCAGUGGGGAAUAUUGGACAAUGGGCGCAAGCAUGAUACAGCAAGACCGCGUGGGUGAAGAAGGCGUUCGGGUUGUAAAGCCCUUUUGUUGGGAAAGAAAAGAAGCAGGUUAAAACCACGCUGUUGUGACGGUACCAAAAGAAUAAGCACCGGCUAACUUCGUG
Molecule: ribosomal RNA, 492 nt
Filed under: uncultured bacterium
Lineage: Bacteria
Description: partial 16S ribosomal RNA
Rfam family: Bacterial small subunit ribosomal RNA
Source: RNAcentral